AACGAACGCUGGCGGCAUGCCUAACACAUGCAAGUCGAACGAGACCUUCGGGUCUAGUGGCGCACGGGUGCGUAACGCGUGGGAACCUGCCCUUAGGUUCGGAAUAACUCCCCGAAAGGGGUGCUAAUACCGGAUAAUGUCUUCGGACCAAAGAUUUAUCGCCUUUGGAUGGGCCCGCGUUGGAUUAGCUAGUUGGUAGGGUAAAAGCCUACCAAGGCGACGAUCCAUAGCUGGUCUGAGAGGAUGAUCAGCAACACUGGGACUGAGACACGGCCCAGACUCCUACGGGAGGCAGCAGUGGGGAAUAUUGGACAAGGGGCGAAAGCCUGAUCCAGCAAUGCCGCGUGAGUGAUGAAGGCCUUAGGGUUGUAAAGCUCUUUUACCCGGGAUGAUAAUGACAGUACCGGGAGAAUAAGCUCCGGCUAACUCCGUG
RNAcentral lists this ribosomal RNA (433 nucleotides) under uncultured bacterium. RNAcentral describes it as "partial 16S ribosomal RNA". It matches the Rfam family "Bacterial small subunit ribosomal RNA", at positions 29 to 507 of the family's 1533-position model. The record is from RNAcentral.